Molecule: unclassified non-coding RNA, 337 nt
Filed under: soil metagenome
Description: partial contains 5.8S ribosomal RNA, internal transcribed spacer 2, and large subunit ribosomal RNA
Rfam family: 5.8S ribosomal RNA (bases 1-120)
Source: RNAcentral
GAUGAAGAACGUAGCGAAAUGCGAUAAGUAAUGUGAAUUGCAGAAUUCAGUGAAUCAUCGAAUCUUUGAACGCACAUUGCGCCCGGCAGUACUCUGCCGGGCAUGCCUGUUCGAGCGUCAUUUCAACCCUCAAGCCCUGCUUGGUGUUGGGGCCCCACGGCUGCCGUGGGCCCUGAAAGGAAGUGGCGGGCUCGCUACAACUCCGAGCGUAGUAAUUCAUUAUCUCGCUUAGGGCGUUGGGCGGCGCUCCAGCCGUUAAAGAACCAUCUUUAACUCAAGGUUGACCUCGGAUCAGGUAGGAAUACCCGCUGAACUUAAGCAUAUCAAUAACGGAGGA